UUAAGUUAUUAAGGGCGCACGGUGGAUGCCUUGGCACUAGAAGCCGAUGAAGGACGUUACUAACGACGAUAUGCUUUGGGGAGCUGUAAGUAAGCUUUGAUCCAGAGAUUUCCGAAUGGGGAAACCCAGCAUGAGUUAUGUCAUGUUAUCGAUAUGUGAAUACAUAGCAUAUCAGAAGGCACACCCGGAGAACUGAAACAUCUUAGUACCCGGAGGAAGAGAAAGAAAAUUCGAUUCCCUUAGUAGCGGCGAGCGAAACGGGAAGAGCCCAAACCAACAAGCUUGCUUGUUGGGGUUGUAGGACACUCUAUACGGAGUUACAAAGGACGACAUUAGACGAAUCAUCUGGAAAGAUGAAUCAAAGAAGGUAAUAAUCCUGUAGUCGAAAAUGUUGUCUCUCUUGAGUGGAUCCUGAGUACGACGGAGCACGUGAAAUUCCGUCGGAAUCUGGGAGGACCAUCUCCUAAGGCUAAAUACUCUCUAGUGACCGAUAGUGAACCAGUACCGUGAGGGAAAGGUGAAAAGCACCCCGGAAGGGGAGUGAAAUAGAACCUGAAACCGUGUGCUUACAAGUAGUCAGAGCCCGUUAAUGGGUGAUGGCGUGCCUUUUGUAGAAUGAACCGGCGAGUUACGAUUUGAUGCAAGGUUAAGCAGUAAAUGUGGAGCCGUAGCGAAAGCGAGUCUGAAUAGGGCGUUUAGUAUUUGGUCGUAGACCCGAAACCAGGUGAUCUACCCUUGGUCAGGUUGAAGUUCAGGUAACACUGAAUGGAGGACCGAACCGACUUACGUUGAAAAGUGAGCGGAUGAACUGAGGGUAGCGGAGAAAUUCCAAUCGAACCUGGAGAUAGCUGGUUCUCUCCGAAAUAGCUUUAGGGCUAGCCUCAAGUGAUGAUUAUUGGAGGUAGAGCACUGUUUGGACGAGGGGCCCCUCUCGGGUUACCGAAUUCAGACAAACUCCGAAUGCCAAUUAAUUUAACUUGGGAGUCAGAACAUGGGUGAUAAGGUCCGUGUUCGAAAGGGAAACAGCCCAGACCACCAGCUAAGGUCCCAAAAUAUAUGUUAAGUGGAAAAGGAUGUGGCGUUGCCCAGACAACUAGGAUGUUGGCUUAGAAGCAGCCAUCAUUUAAAGAGUGCGUAAUAGCUCACUAGUCGAGUGACACUGCGCCGAAAAUGUACCGGGGCUAAACAUAUUACCGAAGCUGUGGAUUGUCCUUUGGACAAUGGUAGGAGAGCGUUCUAAGGGCGUUGAAGCAUGAUCGUAAGGACAUGUGGAGCGCUUAGAAGUGAGAAUGCCGGUGUGAGUAGCGAAAGACGGGUGAGAAUCCCGUCCACCGAUUGACUAAGGUUUCCAGAGGAAGGCUCGUCCGCUCUGGGUUAGUCGGGUCCUAAGCUGAGGCCGACAGGCGUAGGCGAUGGAUAACAGGUUGAUAUUCCUGUACCACCUAUAAUCGUUUUAAUCGAUGGGGGGACGCAGUAGGAUAGGCGAAGCGUGCGAUUGGAUUGCACGUCUAAGCAGUAAGGCUGAGUAUUAGGCAAAUCCGGUACUCGUUAAGGCUGAGCUGUGAUGGGGAGAAGACAUUGUGUCUUCGAGUCGUUGAUUUCACACUGCCGAGAAAAGCCUCUAGAUAGAAAAUAGGUGCCCGUACCGCAAACCGACACAGGUAGUCAAGAUGAGAAUUCUAAGGUGAGCGAGCGAACUCUCGUUAAGGAACUCGGCAAAAUGACCCCGUAACUUCGGGAGAAGGGGUGCUCUUUAGGGUUAACGCCCAGAAGAGCCGCAGUGAAUAGGCCCAAGCGACUGUUUAUCAAAAACACAGGUCUCUGCUAAACCGUAAGGUGAUGUAUAGGGGCUGACGCCUGCCCGGUGCUGGAAGGUUAAGAGGAGUGGUUAGCUUCUGCGAAGCUACGAAUCGAAGCCCCAGUAAACGGCGGCCGUAACUAUAACGGUCCUAAGGUAGCGAAAUUCCUUGUCGGGUAAGUUCCGACCCGCACGAAAGGCGUAACGAUUUGGGCACUGUCUCAACGAGAGACUCGGUGAAAUCAUAGUACCUGUGAAGAUGCAGGUUACCCGCGACAGGACGGAAAGACCCCGUGGAGCUUUACUGUAGCCUGAUAUUGAAAUUCGGCACAGCUUGUACAGGAUAGGUAGGAGCCUUUGAAACGUGAGCGCUAGCUUACGUGGAGGCGCUGGUGGGAUACUACCCUAGCUGUGUUGGCUUUCUAACCCGCACCACUUAUCGUGGUGGGAGACAGUGUCAGGCGGGCAGUUUGACUGGGGCGGUCGCCUCCUAAAAGGUAACGGAGGCGCUCAAAGGUUCCCUCAGAAUGGUUGGAAAUCAUUCAUAGAGUGUAAAGGCAUAAGGGAGCUUGACUGCGAGACCUACAAGUCGAGCAGGGUCGAAAGACGGACUUAGUGAUCCGGUGGUUCCGCAUGGAAGGGCCAUCGCUCAACGGAUAAAAGCUACCCCGGGGAUAACAGGCUUAUCUCCCCCAAGAGUUCACAUCGACGGGGAGGUUUGGCACCUCGAUGUCGGCUCAUCGCAUCCUGGGGCUGUAGUCGGUCCCAAGGGUUGGGCUGUUCGCCCAUUAAAGCGGUACGCGAGCUGGGUUCAGAACGUCGUGAGACAGUUCGGUCCCUAUCCGUCGUGGGCGUAGGAAAUUUGAGAGGAGCUGUCCUUAGUACGAGAGGACCGGGAUGGACAU
Molecule: ribosomal RNA, 2703 nt
Filed under: Staphylococcus aureus M1535
Lineage: Bacteria; Bacillati; Bacillota; Bacilli; Caryophanales; Staphylococcaceae
Description: bacterial LSU rRNA
Rfam family: Bacterial large subunit ribosomal RNA
Source: RNAcentral